Molecule: ribosomal RNA, 164 nt
Filed under: Centaurea montana
Lineage: Eukaryota; Viridiplantae; Streptophyta; Magnoliopsida; Asterales; Asteraceae
Also listed under: 7 other names
Description: 5.8S ribosomal RNA
Rfam family: 5.8S ribosomal RNA
About the family: 5.8S ribosomal RNA (5.8S rRNA) is a component of the large subunit of the eukaryotic ribosome. It is transcribed by RNA polymerase I as part of the 45S precursor that also contains 18S and 28S rRNA.
Source: RNAcentral
AAACGACUCUCGGCAACGGAUAUCUCGGCUCACGCAUCGAUGAAGAACGUAGCAAAAUGCGAUACUUGGUGUGAAUUGCAGAAUCCCGUGAACCAUCGAGUUUUUGAACGCAAGUUGCGCCCAAAGCCAUUCGGCCGAGGGCACGUCUGCCUGGGCGUCACGCA